CCUACGGGUGGCAGCAGUGGGGAAUAUUGCACAAUGGGGGAAACCCUGAUGCAGCGACGCCGCGUGAGUGAAGAAGUAUUUCGGUACGUAAAGCUCUAUCAGCAGGGAAGAAAAUGACGGUACCUGACUAAGAAGCCCCGGCUAACUACGUGCCAGCAGCCGCGGUAAUACGUAGGGGGCAAGCGUUAUCCGGAUUUACUGGGUGUAAAGGGAGCGUAGACGGCAGCGCAAGUCUGGAGUGAAAUCCCAUGGCUUAACCAUGGAACUGCUUUGGAAACUGUGCAGCUAGAGUGCAGGAGAGGUAAGCGGAAUUGCUAGGGUAGCGGUGAAAUGCGUAGAUAUUAGGAGGAAAACCAGUGGCGAAGGCGGCUUACUGGACUGUAACUGACGUUGAGGCUCGAAAGCGUGGGGAGCAAACAGGAUUAGAUACCCUAGUAGUC
Molecule: ribosomal RNA, 440 nt
Filed under: uncultured bacterium
Lineage: Bacteria
Description: partial 16S ribosomal RNA
Rfam family: Bacterial small subunit ribosomal RNA
Source: RNAcentral